UGGCCGCUCUCCUCCCUCCACCUGUCCACGGGGGGGUUUCCCCCCGGGACCGUCUCCGCCCGUUUCCUCCCUGCCGGGAGGCGACGGUCUCCGGGGCCGCCCGGUCGCGGGUCCCGGCUCGGCGCUUCCCCGGCGCGCCCGGUCGCGGCCGCCUCUCGCCGGGACGCGCCGGGGGGGGUCCCCGGCGGGGCGCUGACGGGCCGUCCCGGGCAGCGGUGCGAGCGGCGGGGCCGCCGCCGCGGAGGGCUGCGCGGGGGGCCGGGGUCGCAGCGCUGCCCCGGGGCCGGAGGCCGGCCGGGGCCCGCCGUGUCAGGCUCCUCGGGAGGUGGCCCCGGGGGAGGCUGCAGAGUGGCACCGAGGAUGUCCGGGAACGCUUCCAAACGAGGGUGAAACUCCCUCCUGGCACAGGUUGAAGAAGAGCGGUGGUGACAAGUGUCCCCGUCAAGGGGAGUGCUGAUAGCAAGAGUGAGUGGGAGUGUGUUUGUGUGUGUUACAAAGGCACUCGCGCGGUGCUUGGCAAUUUGAGGAUCUCCGAUGUAUUUUUGACCAUGGAAUUGGUUAAAAACUUCUUAAACCUGCCCUGCCAUUGUUUUGACCCGGAAAGCAAAAGAACGUGCUUAAGAUGCCUAGCGGGGCAGGGGCUGCCUGUUGCACCAUGCCCUGUUGGACUGCAUCCCUGCUGCUGGAGAGUGGGCUCUCCUGGAGCCAGAGUCAAUCCGUGGGAACCAGGAGCCAUAGGAAGCAGUUGAAGAAAUAACGCGCCAGAAGGAUGCAAGCGGUUUGUCUGCCCCUUCCAGCGGAGCCGCUCAUGGAGGGAGGGCAGGAGCCUCCAGAAGGAUGUGCUUCCGGACGCAGGCCUGGCCUGCAGAAGGUGUGUUACAGAUGAAGUGCCAACAGUCUGUCAGGACACAAGUGAAAAGUUUUCUGUAAUGCUUUCUCCCAGGGCUGGAGAAGAAGCCACUGUAAUCUGAAGGUCAACAGUGAUGGAAGACAUUCAUCCCUACCUUUAAAUACGGCUUAAAUCAGGAAGAAAUACAGUUUCUUUUCUUAGUACUUUGUUUUUAUGGUGUACUCUGAUGUAGUGUGUUUCUGUGAGGCUUAAAGAGUGUGUGUUUUGACAGAAUGGGAUGAUGGUCAUUUUAUUACAGUUCUGAAGGCCUAAUGUUAUAUCGCAAAACAUAGGUCUCUAGUCUUCAUCAGAGUCCAGAAUGGGUAGGAGUCUAGGGCUGAGUCCUUUCCUGUAAAUUACAAGCUUAUCUUUCCUUCCAGAAAUACAUGGAUUUAGAGUAUUGGAUCACAUAAGUAUCCAGAGAAAUGCCUCCACCUCUACUGCUCUUGCAUUCUUAAAUUACAGUGAUUAAAACAUACGGGUUUUAUAUCGGUUACCUUAUAUAUGUAGCCCUUUGGUGGUUUCUGCUAUGAUGAAGUAUCUUGGAUAGACUAACAAAAACAACCACCUUCUUCAAUUUUAAUAGUAAUGUCACAUACAAAAUUUAGGAGAAUUAGUGUAUAAGCUGGCAAAGAACUAUUCUAUAUUAUCUAGUAUUCAGACCUGAUUAAUACAUUAUCCUGUUUGCAACAGGUUGCUUGUAGUUUUAUGGGUUGGAUAGCUAAUGAUACAUUACCUAAGAGGGAAGAACAAAAUCCUCUGCAGAGUUGAUAUCAUAUGUCUUAAUUUUGGUACCCAGUACUUCUCGUUUUGAUGCACCUAACAUUCCUAAUGUUAGUCUCAGUUAUAGAAUUAUAGUUUAUAGAAAACUGUAUCUAUCUACAUAGAAAACCAAAAUGAAAUUGUUGCUUUUUAAUUAACAGCAUCAUGCACUUCAAAGUGUGCUGAUCCAGCUGAGGUAUGAACAGCUACAGCCCCUAGCUACAGUAUGUCAGCUCUUCAGUUCACACAGCAGCAACUUGCUCCCUUCCCUUGGAAGCCACCUUCUCAUUGUGUAGACAAGGGUCAUGACAGUCUUUAAACCGCCAAUACAUAAAAAUCCCAUGGAUGGGUUACAAUGGACUUCUGUGUUUUCACAACCAGGGAAAACACAACAAGAUUUCCCCCCU
Long non-coding RNA from Harpia harpyja (harpy eagle), 2058 nucleotides. RefSeq lists it as uncharacterized. The record is from RefSeq and is a predicted model, not a curated record. The transcript is spliced from 3 exons. NCBI's taxonomy places the organism in Eukaryota, Metazoa, Chordata, Aves, Accipitriformes, Accipitridae.